RNAcentral lists this ribosomal RNA (458 nucleotides) under uncultured bacterium. RNAcentral's name for it is "partial 16S ribosomal RNA". It matches the Rfam family "Bacterial small subunit ribosomal RNA", at positions 28 to 507 of the family's 1533-position model. The record is from RNAcentral.
GACGAACGCUGGCGGCGUGCUUCAUACAUGCAAGUCGAACGAUAAGCUGACUUCGGUCAGUGGAAAGUGGCGGACGGGUGAGUAAUAUGUAGGAAAUCUGCCUUUAGGAGGGGGACAACAGAGGGAAACUUCUGCUAAUACCCCAUAUGAGCGUAGCUGAAAUGCUAUUCUUGAAAACUCCGGUGCCUAAAGAUGAGCCUGCAUCUGAUUAGCUAGUUGGUAGUGUAAUGGACUACCAAGGCGACGAUCAGUAGCUGGUUUGAGAGGAUGAUCAGCCACAAUGGGACUGAGACACGGCCCAUAAUCCUACGGGAGGCAGCAGUAGGGAAUUUUGCGCAAUCGGCGAAAGUCUGACGCAGCAACGCCGCGUGAAAGAUUAAGACCUUCGGGGUGUAAAGUUCUGUCAGUGGGGACGCAACUUGACGGUACCCACAGAGGAAGCACCGGCUAACUCCGUG